AACGCGAAGAACCUUACCUGGGCUCGAAAUGCUGUGGACCAGCUUAUGAAAGUAGGCCUUCCCGCAAGGGACCGCAGUAUAGGUGCUGCAUGGCUGUCGUCAGCUCGUGUCGUGAGAUGUUGGGUUAAGUCCCGCAACGAGCGCAACCCUUGUCCUUAGUUGCCAGCGAGUAAUGUCGGGAACUCUAAGGAGACUGCCGGUGACAAACCGGAGGAAGGUGGGGAUGACGUCAAGUCCUCAUGGCCCUUACGGCCAGGGCUACACACGUACUACAAUGGUCGGUACAGAGGGUUGCAAUACCGCGAGGUGGAGCCAAUCCCAGAAAGCCGAUCCCAGUCCGGAUCGAAGUCUGCAACUCGACUUCGUGAAGUCGGAAUCGCUAGUAAUCGCGGAUCAGCUAUGCCGCGGUGAAUACGUUCCCGGGCCUUGUACACACCGCUAGUC
Molecule: ribosomal RNA, 444 nt
Filed under: uncultured bacterium
Lineage: Bacteria
Description: bacterial SSU rRNA
Rfam family: Bacterial small subunit ribosomal RNA
Source: RNAcentral